This 293-nucleotide ribosomal RNA is filed under the name uncultured bacterium. RNAcentral's name for it is "partial 16S ribosomal RNA". It matches the Rfam family "Archaeal small subunit ribosomal RNA", at positions 455 to 747 of the family's 1478-position model. The record is from RNAcentral.
GUGCCAGCCGCCGCGGUAAUACCGGCAGCUCAAGUGAUGUCCCAUAUUAUUGGGCCUAAAGCGUCCGUAGCUGGCCGACCAAGUCUCCCGGGAAAUCCACCUGCCCAACGAGUGGGCGUCCGGCGGAAACUGUGCGGCUUGGGACCGGAAGAUCCAAGGGGUACGUCCGGGGUAGGAGUGAAAUCCCGUAAUCCUGGACGGACCACCGAUGGCGAAAGCACCUUGGAAGGACGGAUCCGACAGUGAGGGACGAAAGCUAGGGUCUCGAACCGGAUUAGAAACCUCGGUAGUCC